This 67-nucleotide transfer RNA is filed under the name Marmota monax (woodchuck). Its description in RNAcentral is "tRNA.Ala". Lineage: Eukaryota; Metazoa; Chordata; Mammalia; Rodentia; Sciuridae. The record is from RNAcentral.
GGUUGUGGCUCAGUGGUAGAGUGGUCGCCUAGCAUGGGUGAGGCACUGGGUUUGAUCCUCAGCACCA